UAGUGGUUGAGCCUAUGCGCUAGUGAAAGAGGUAGCUUUAGCAAGGCAUCCCAGGCAAGACGCUUAUCCGACAAGCCUGAUACCUGGGCUGGUGAGAAAGUGAGAUAUUCGUUGUAUAUUGGGAAUUGCUUUGCCCUGUGAGGGCUGGUUUCACGAAAAUUUGCCGUCUACAACCGUAGACGGUGACAGGGCCAGGUCGACUGGCAGAGUUCCAAUGGGCAGGUAGCCGUACACGAGACUACCGAUGGGAAGAUCAUUGCGGUUGCUCUCUUGCACAACUCCGAAUCCCCAUGCUGAUAUACGCCCGUAUUUAGCCCCGUCUUUGAAUUUCUCGGGAAUCGAGGGGGGUAGAGGGUGGACGUCCCACCAACCAAACAAAUGGCCGGACUUUGCGUAGCUUAUAUUGUUCGUUGUGAGAGAAAAUAUGUAUGUUUUUACACGCACCGAUGAUGGGAUAAGGGCGGGAGUGGCUCAGCAUCGGGGAGAGAAACGAUGUAUUGGUCAGUGAAGUCCUGUUUGCAAAGGACUUGAUUAGUUGGAGCAGACAUUAGUACGGAAAUACAGCUGGAGUCUGUAUUUGCGUGCUGGAGAAUGUAUGAUCCCGAUGCUAACGUUCAUUUACUCCAUGUAGCAUGUCUUUAUCAGGAGCACUUAUCUCCUUCACAGGGUGCCUAGUGGCCCGCGGCCUGGCUUUUGUCCAACAUGGCUUACUUUUUCAGAACUAUUUAAAAAAUGCGCUAAGGACA
RNAcentral lists this small RNA (746 nucleotides) under Histoplasma ohiense. RNAcentral describes it as "hypothetical lncRNA". Lineage: Eukaryota; Fungi; Ascomycota; Eurotiomycetes; Onygenales; Ajellomycetaceae. The record is from RNAcentral.